UUCCAGUUCAAAAGUACCUUAAUCCUUUUUUCGCAGCCCACGUUCAAAGACAGAUAUUUUUUUUUUAUUGCUCUCUCUCUGGUUUUAUGAUUAUUCAGCAGGCAAAGAGCUGACCUGUGGAUAUAUUGUCACGGCAAGGCCAUGCCUCCUGCCUGUGUGGUGUGGUAGGGGCGUGGCCCCCGAUGAGAAGUCACCUCACCUGCUCAGUUAUCCAUCCUCUCGGUUCCCCAGUCUGUCUGCCGCUUCCUGCCUGGAUUCUCCUGCCUGGAUUCUCCCGCCUGGAUUUCCCUGCCAUUCCCCACUGUCUCCAGAGCUAUGUCCCUGGCUAUAAACCAGUUUCCCCCGUACCUUCUAGUCUCUGCAUUUGGGUCCGCCACCACAUACCGUAACAUAUAUAGAAACCAGAAAAGUAUGAAUAAAUGUUCUUGACAUAAAAAAGGCUAAAAGAAAAAGCUCAGAUAACUCCCGAUAGCAUUCUAACAUGUGUGUAUCUGUACCUUCAUAACAUGGAUAGACAGCAAUCCAGAGGAAAGAGAGAAACCGGGUCCUUCAUUUAUUUGCACUCUUGUUGCAAACUGCACACGCACACUCUGGUGCAGGCACUCCCCAGAGUGAAGUUUCACUUACACACAAACGUGUUCUACUAAAGAGCAUCAGCGGAAUGAUGAUGUUGAGAAAAAGGAGGAGGCGCGAAUUUGGAUGUAUAGCAAAAGGAUCGUGAAAAAAGUGAAAUCCAAAUGGAAGGCAAAAAACAUUAAGGCAACUGACAUAUUUCACUCUCCUUAAAAUCUUUGAUUAGGCCAAUGGCACGUUUUAUAUGUUUCAGAUAUGGAUCUUAUAUUAUUAUAUUUGACAUUAAAAAUAACCCAUACGUUUUUGGUAUACAAUAUGAUGUGCAGUAAAUUUAAUAUACAUUUUCAGCAAUAUAUAAAUUCAACAUGCUGCCCAACAUCAAGAGAAUAUGUCCUCUUCUCACUCAGAAAGAAGAUGGUCCAGUUUUACGUCCUUGCCCACUCGCUCUGCAUCUGCCAAUCGGCGAGCUAAAAACUAUUCAAACACUUAUUUUUUAAUUGCCUUCCUUAAAAAGGGAAGGAUUGAGAUUGGACUAUAUUGUUUCAUUUUUGUGUUGUCUAAAUUAGCCUUUUUUAGAAGUGGUUUAAUAAAUACAAUUUUAGGGCCCAUGACAAAACACAUGAGAAUAAAGGGAUAUGUUUACAAUUUGUAAAAGAUCAUUGGUCAUGCAGUCUGAAAUAUUGUUGAAAAAGUAUGUUUGUAUAACAUCUAAGCAGCAGGACCAGAUAGCAAACUGACUCUGAUCCAGAUCCGUCCCAGAGUUAUCAUAGGCUCCGGACAGAUGCGCAAAACUCAGCAGCUAAUCAGCUGUUUGACAGUGCGCAAUCCGUUGGAGGGGCUGAUCCGGUGCACCAAACCCGAGUGUGACAGUACGGGGGAUGUGCCAACAUCUGCCCCCGGGGUCGACUGCGAUCUGGGGACGAGGACUUCAGAUGUUGUAUAAUGUCUUCCAGACUUCCAUUGUUGGUUGAAUUAAAUUGUGUCAGGAUAUUUAAAUAGAUAUGGGGACAUCAAAUAUCCCGUGGUUGGUGUGAAGGCACCUACUACUUGUCUAAUUAUCUGAAUUUUUUCAGUAAAAAAGUAGGUAAAUUGUUUGGAUUGAAACCUCACAGUUUCUAACACUGUCAACCGUGGAAAAAUAAUGCAGGUGCGUUGUUACAGUUUUCAGUUAUGGUAUCAGAAGAAAGACUGUCUUGCAUGUCUCAGACAACCUCCACUUUAGUGGGUGCCAUGACAUCAAUAAUAUUCCUAACAGAAUUUCUCUGCAGGCUAAAUGACUGAUUCUGAUUCUAGAGAGGGCUAGUGUAGAAUAUACAUAGUGAUUAAAUAAUCACCCUAUUAUUGUAUAACAAAAUAUAGCUAAUUAUUUUUUGUGUCAGAUCUAUAGUGGAUCUAUAUACUGACAGCGAAAUAUUGAGAUUAAGCAUGUCCAGUGUUUGGGUGUCUCUCUAAAGGCAA
Long non-coding RNA from Gasterosteus aculeatus aculeatus (three-spined stickleback), 2031 nucleotides. Lineage: Eukaryota; Metazoa; Chordata; Actinopteri; Perciformes; Gasterosteidae. The record is from Ensembl.